RNAcentral lists this long non-coding RNA (352 nucleotides) under Homo sapiens (human). RNAcentral's name for it is "HSALNT0047677". Lineage: Eukaryota; Metazoa; Chordata; Mammalia; Primates; Hominidae. The record is from RNAcentral.
AGCACAGCUGAUUCACCCACCAUCACAGGAAGGCAGGCGGCUUUCAAGGGCAUAGAUGCAGACCAUGUGGAAGCUUGGUGGAGGAGUCGGGGGAGUAAAAACGAGGCUGGCAUUCUGGACUUGCAUAGUCGAGAGAGCUACUGGUGUGAGGAAGCUGAUGGAAACCCAGCGCUGGCUUUGCAGGAAACACAGGGCAAUCUAUCAGCAAUCCCCCUGGGCUGCACCCUCAUGGUGGAGAGGGAUUUACUCACAUCAAAAUGAGGAUGCUACGGACAAAAGAUGAAGGACUGUUUCAGGUAAGCAAAAAUAUCAGCUAAUCAUCCCCAUACAUUUUAUUGGAGAUAGUAGCAUA